Molecule: transfer RNA, 65 nt
Filed under: Plateros sp. UPOL A00471
Lineage: Eukaryota; Metazoa; Arthropoda; Insecta; Coleoptera; Lycidae
Description: tRNA-Phe
Source: RNAcentral
UUUUAAUAGCUUAUAGAUAGAGCAUAAUAUUGAAGAUAUUAAGGAGAAAUUUUUUCUUAAAAUAU